UUGAAAGGAACAAGUGGAGGACUCCUCCUUCUUGGAUAAAAGACUUUUUGUCUCUGAGACUUUUGCAGAUCCUGGUCAUGAAGGAGAAGAACCCUAUAGAGACCAACUUGUCUAUAAAGAAUAUCCUCUAGGAUCUUUCCACAGACAAUCUGGUGUUGAUGGAAGCUCUACAUCUUUAUCCCCCUACCAUGUUCCUGGUUUGCAUGGCCCCUACUCAAGGUUCAGCCACUCUGCAGAGAUCUCCCUUUAGUCCUUACCCAAUGUUCCUUUAACUUCCCACCUUCCUCCAGCCCCAGUAAGCAGUCAGGGUAAGGAGACACCCUCAGAACCAGGAACAGUUAUGGGAACCUUGAGCAAAAGGGCCAUCUCACCAAAUACAACAGUAUCUCUCCCACUGAGAGCUUAUGAGCUCAUAGAUGAGUAUGGCAUCAGGUCAUGCAAUAUUGGCCUUUCUCUUCCAUCAGUUUGUACAACUGGAAGGCCCACCAACCCCAACCCCCUUUCAGAUAACCCCAAGGGGCUGAUUAAUCUGUUUUAUUUACUCAUCAGCCCACCUGGCAUGAUAUCCACCAACUCAUGAGUGUGGUCUUCAUAACCAAAGAGUGAGAGAGAAUAGUGCAGAGAGCCAGAAAGAAUGCCUCUCAGACAUGGGGUCACCACCAAUUGCUCAGGCUGUCAUCAACAGCAGGUUUCUCCUGACUUGACAUGGCUGGGACUUUAAUACAGCAAAAGGUUAGGAUCACCUGAAGGUGUACCACCAGGCUCUGUUGGCAG
Molecule: long non-coding RNA, 774 nt
Filed under: Rattus norvegicus (Norway rat)
Lineage: Eukaryota; Metazoa; Chordata; Mammalia; Rodentia; Muridae
Description: long non-coding RNA NONRATT015934
Source: RNAcentral